GAAGAAGAAUUGAUGAUCAUAAUUGUCAAAAAGAUAUGAAUAUGACAGCAAUGGAGGGAUGAGCCUAUGAAGUAUGGGGUGUAGGUACGGAUAUUGGUAUGGGUAUACCGGUACGACAAGACCUAAAAACAAUACAAUAUGGGACAACUGAACUGUAUGAUGACGUGUGUAUUCUUCUAUGGCCUUGGGGUUGGACGCUAGGCCUGGGCCUAUCUCGGUCUUGGGCCACACUCUGACUUGACUCUCCUUGAAAGAUUGCCUCUAGGCUGGGUGUUCAUCCUUGGUGGGCUUGGUUCAUUCUUAUGGACUAGGUGGGUUCAACCCACUCAAGUGUUCAGCCCACAUCAGUUGGGCUAAGUGAUUUGGUCCACCUCGACAUUCUAAUCGAGCUUGGCCCAUGUUAGUUCUGAUGAACCCACGUCGGUUGGACUCGAUGAGAUCAACCCAUAUCAACAUUUCUGAUGAACCUGGCCCAUGUUCGUGGGCCUAGGUUGGUUUGGCCCUAAAGAGGUAACUCAACCAAGUCCUGGUCCUAAUUAUUUUGACCUCUUUCACUUGGUAAUCUAAACUUUCAUGCUAGAGCAAAUAUUGGUAGAAUAGAGUACAAUAUAAAAUCACUUGUAGGAAACCAUAGGCAACAACUACAAAGAGUCAACAUAGAUAAACAUCAACAAAAAUUUAAAACUACUACAUUGAUAAGUCUUAUCAUAGAGAUUAUAUGUACAUAAAACCAAUACCAUUAAACUAUUUUAGCCAUAUGAUUUUGUACAAAUUAUUUGAUGGCAAGAAUACAUUUAAUUUUUUUGUAUAUAAAUACAAAUGAUUAAGUGCUCCAGAUCAAACCAAAUGUUUACGUGUAAUACGUCCAAAUUUUUUUUAAUAUAAUAGUACGUUCUAUUUUUUGGGGAAAAAAUGAAGAAGAGUGAAAUUAAGUGAAAUAGUACCAAAAUUUAAUCCCAAUCAUUGUCGAGUAAAAGACAAAAAUAUUUAAAGUCGUUGUUGGCUCCAUUUACACAUAUGUAUGUGUGUGUGAAUGUGUUACCAAAAUUAAUAGUGGUGGAGGUAGAAGUUUCCGCAUAACUUAUAUAUAAUAAGAAUCAAUGGCAUACCUCUUAUGUUGAGAUAGACACUAUUAUCAAUGUAUGACACUGACACAAUGUGCCAACCAGCGACUUUCCAAAAACAACGAAGAGAUAAAAUUAUGGACAUGGACAUUGUACAUACGUAACAUUGUUUGAUAUAAAAAUAAGUCGUGCUAUAGGUCUCGAAUAUUGAGGUGUAAAUUUGCCUCGAAUUUGUUUAACCGGUCGUCCGGCUGGUCGUCCGGCAAAGAGGGUGACAAUCGCGGUCGAUAAGGUUGUCAACCGCGAUAGACAAGUAUUUCACUAGGUCGUUCGGGUGGUCGUUCGACCGGUGACUACAAAUUCGCGCCUGAAACUCUUGAGGCGUGAAGCAUUAGUGUAAAAAAUAGAGUGUCUAACAUGGUAAAAAAGUGAUCAUGAAAUACAUGAAACUCAAAAGAAAAUAUAUCGCUAAUAUAAGUUACUUGACAGUGAAAGAUGUUUGACAGAACUUAGGCUAUAAACACAAUCAAUUAAAAGAAUAAGUGCAACUAACCUUUUUGUACAAAUUCGGAAGGUUUGUCUCAUAAAAUGGAAGGUAUCCUGCCAUUAAAACAUAAAGAAUGACUCCACGUGACCAGACCUCCAUUGCAACACCAUCAUAACCCCUUCGACUUAAAACCUAUGGCAUUGGUUGAGGAGAAAAAAUUUAGAUGGUGGACAAAAACAUCCAGGGCCAUGCUUCUUUACAAAAUAUUAAUUUUGAAUAAAUAAAUAAAGUAGGAGAAAAAUGGUGAAUUUAACUGGAAGAAUUGAAACAUUAGCUAACUAAAAAGCUUGCUUAAACACAAUUAUACCACAAAAGCCUCACAAUCAUUUGCAUAGUUUCAGAAAAACUAAGGGAUAUAUUGACUAUUGUUGAUUAUUAUCGAAGGUUAAGAAGCUUAGACACUUCUAAGACAGUGUCAUGUCCGUGUUGGAUACAUGUUAGGCAUUGACACUAUUAGACACUCUCGACACAUGUCAAACGCUUGCCAGACACACAUGUUAACUAUUUAGACAGGUAUAAAACACACUAUAAGUUCAAAGAAAAUAUCUCAGGAGCUAAUUAUUAAAAUCAAAACAUGUAUACAUACCUAUUAACCCCUACUCUUUUAGGAGUUUUAGUUUUAGGAACGCAUAAGCCUAAAGCUUUCUACCUGUUUGUGAAUAUGAUUUUUUAAAAUAGCUUUAGAACUUUUUGUUCACAUUUCUUUUGCAAUUUAUAGAAUCUAAAUACAUAUAUAAAGAUAAAUUUAUAUAUAAAAAUAUAAAAUUCUUUGUUAUGUGUCCCUGCCAUGUCGUAAGUUGAUUUUAGAAAAAUUGUCUUUCAACCUAUCUAUAUCAUUCCAUAUUCAUGUCCAUUGUAUCCAUGCUUCUUAGGUCAAAGGAAAAUAAGAUCUAUAGGUAGCAAUUGAGAACACAAGGGAAAAUAAGACAAUUUAUAAGACAAAUCACACAGCCUGAGACCCCUAAAUUUUGCAAAUUCUAGUAAUGUCCAUUAUAACAAAAGCCCUCAAUUCCCCGUUUACUAGGGAAAUUAACCCUAGAACCAAAACGCAUCACGGGCGAAUCUGUACAAAUCCUAAUCGACCCCGGUAACUUAGAAAUCAUAUCUAACACUCUAAUAUUAAUUAUUUAACUCUCUAAUUUUAGAUUAAUCGCUCAAAAUUCUAGUUUUUUUUUAUCAUUUUCAUUUGGUUAUACACCUUUUAAUUCAAGGCAAGAUGAUUCAAACCAAAUUAUUUUACCCAACACUGUUUUAAUAAAUACUACAUUUGAAAUAUAUAUUCUAAUUAAUCCCAAGCCCUCACAUUUUAUUCUAAUUACAUUUUGACCCCAAAUCAUUCUUUAUACAUAUAAAAGUACACCCCCAGUAUUAUAAUCUUUUUCCAAAAUAUCUACAGUAUACAUAAGAGUUUGUAGACAAAUAAAUGAGAAAAAUUCCCUCAAAUCAUCAUCACAUUGGCGGUCACCCUAUAAAUAUACAUUGUAGUGUCCUUUUUUAAACAAAUUUCAUGAAUUUAGGGAAGACUUCUGACUAGGACCCCAAAAUCUACGAAAUUUGUCUUGUACUUGUAACUAACUCAGUUAUAACCCUAACUAGGAUUUGUUUAAGUACACAAUUAGGGCCUCAAUAAACCCCAUUCUAUUACAUUCCAACUAAAUCCAAAGACUAUUCAAUUCCUUUGGAACCAUGGGCAUUUUGGACUUUUCACACCAAAUUUCCUAUAAAUACAGCACCAUCCCCUUAGCAUUUGCAUACUCAAGUACACACCCGCACUACACACGGCAGAGGUAGAGUGAGGGGGAGUAGAGAGUGAGCUUGAAGGAAGAGAAAGAAAAAGAGAGAAGACUUUGUGCAAGCCUUAACAAUCUAACAAACAAGUAAGCCACAACACAAUCUAUUAUUUUCUUUUCUUUUCUUUUCUCUUCUCUUCUAAAUACAUAAUAUUAGAUGCUUAGAAUAUAGUUUUCAUAUAUGUGUAUGGUUCUUGUGUUUAAAUAAGAGAAGUUGUGUUUUGUUAUAGGGCUGAGCAAGGAAUCCGUGAAAUCCGUAAUCCGAUAUAAUCCAGUCUAAUCCGAUAGGUUUGGAUUGGUUUUUUGAAUCUGCGGUUCAGUUCUGGAUUGAAGAAUUAAAAAUCCG
Camellia sinensis is the source of this 3747-nucleotide non-coding RNA. Lineage: Eukaryota; Viridiplantae; Streptophyta; Magnoliopsida; Ericales; Theaceae. The record is from RefSeq and is a predicted model, not a curated record.